Molecule: ribosomal RNA, 1019 nt
Filed under: Bacillus sp. (in: firmicutes)
Lineage: Bacteria; Bacillati; Bacillota; Bacilli; Caryophanales; Bacillaceae
Description: bacterial SSU rRNA
Rfam family: Bacterial small subunit ribosomal RNA
Source: RNAcentral
AGUCGGAGGGGACANNNGGGGAGCUUGCUCCUGGAUGUUAGCGGCGGACGGUGAGUAACACGUGAGUAACCCGCCUGUAAGAACGGGAUAACUCCGGGAAACCGGAGCUAAUACCGGAUAGUUCCCUGAUCCGCAUGGUUCAAGGAUGAAAGACGGUUUCGGCUGUCACUUACAGAUGGACCCGCGGCGCAUUAGCUAGUUGGUGAGGUAACGGCUCACCAAGGCGACGAUGCGUAGCCGACCUGAGAGGGUGAUCGGCCACACUGGGACUGAGACACGGCCCAGACUCCUACGGGAGGCAGCAGUAGGGAAUCUUCCGCAAUGGACGAAAGUCUGACGGAGCAACGCCGCGUGAGUGAUGAAGGUUUUCGGAUCGUAAAGCUCUGUUGUUAGGGAAGAACAAGUGCAAGAGUAACUGCUUGCACCUUGACGGUACCUAACCAGAAAGCCACGGCUAACUACGUGCCAGCAGCCGCGGUAAUACGUAGGUGGCAAGCGUUGUCCGGAAUUAUUGGGCGUAAAGGGCUCGCAGGCGGUUUCUUAAGUCUGAUGUGAAAGCCCCCGGCUCAACCGGGGAGGGUCAUUGGAAACUGGGAAACUUGAGUGCAGAAGAGGAGAGUGGAAUUCCACGUGUAGCGGUGAAAUGCGUAGAGAUGUGGAGGAACACCAGUGGCGAAGGCGACUCUCUGGUCUGUAACUGACGCUGAGGAGCGAAAGCGUGGGGAGCGAACAGGAUUAGAUACCCUGGUAGUCCACGCCGUAAACGAUGAGUGCUAAGUGUUAGGGGGUUUCCGCCCCUUAGUGCUGCAGCUAACGCAUUAAGCACUCCGCCUGGGGAGUACGGUCGCAAGACUGAAACUCAAAGGAAUUGACGGGGGCCCGCACAAGCGGUGGAGCAUGUGGUUUAAUUCGAAGCAACGCGAAGAACCUUACCAGGUCUUGACAUCCUCUGACAACCCUAGAGAUAGGGCUUUCCCUUCGGGGACAGAGUGAACAGGUGGUGCCAUGGUUGUCGUCAG